CGCAGCUUGCGCUCUUUGGUAUUCCAAAGAGCAUGCCUUUUUGAGUGUCGUUAAUCUUCUCCAAAUGUGAUUUUUUUGUAUUAAAAUCUCACACGAGGGUCCUUGGGAUUGAUUCGCGUUGCCGUGAAUCUUUCCUUAAAUAGAUGAGCUGAAGAUCAGUCAGGUUGCUAAGGCAAUGUAUGAACCUGCGUAAAAUGGUCUUUGCUUCUAAUCACACAAAUAUUAACUUUACUGGCCUCAAAUAAGGUAGGACUACCCGCUGAACUUAA
RNAcentral lists this unclassified non-coding RNA (269 nucleotides) under Exobasidiales sp. RNAcentral's name for it is "partial contains 5.8S ribosomal RNA, internal transcribed spacer 2, and large subunit ribosomal RNA". Lineage: Eukaryota; Fungi; Basidiomycota; Exobasidiomycetes; Exobasidiales. The record is from RNAcentral.